AGAGUUUGAUCCUGGCUCAGGACGAACGCUGGCGGUGUGCUUCACACAUGCAAGUCGAACGGGGUAGCAAUACCCAGUGGCGGACGGGUGAGUAACACGUAGGAAUCUGCCUCAGAGUGGGGGAUAACUGACCGAAAGGUUAGCUAAUACCGCAUAUGUCGAAAGAUAAAAGGAGUAAUCCGCUAUGAGAUGAGCCUGCGUCCGAUUAGCUAGUUGGUAGGGUAAAGGCCUACCAAGGCUACGAUCGGUAGCUGGUCUGAGAGGAUGAUCAGCCACAAUGGAACUGAGACACGGUCCAUACUCCUACGGGAGGCAGCAGUGGGGAAUUUUACGCAAUGGGCGAAAGCCUGACGUAGCGACACCGCGUGAACGAAGAAGCCUUUUGGGGUGUAAAGUUCUGUCGGCAGGGACGAAAAAAAUGACGGUACCUGCAGAGAG
RNAcentral lists this ribosomal RNA (438 nucleotides) under uncultured bacterium. RNAcentral's name for it is "bacterial SSU rRNA". It matches the Rfam family "Bacterial small subunit ribosomal RNA", at positions 8 to 488 of the family's 1533-position model. The record is from RNAcentral.